Long non-coding RNA from Notolabrus celidotus (New Zealand spotty), 1114 nucleotides. RefSeq lists it as uncharacterized. The transcript has 3 exons. NCBI's taxonomy places the organism in Eukaryota, Metazoa, Chordata, Actinopteri, Labriformes, Labridae. The record is from RefSeq and is a predicted model, not a curated record.
UGCACCACGGUGGCUGAAGUUAGAACUGCCUGCACCAGCAGCAGCACCAUCAGAAUCAGCAGCAGGAUGUCGUAGGACUGCUGUUAACACACACCCACACACGCACACACACGCAAACACAUAUAGAUGAAAUGACAUGAUUAUGAGAGCUUUCUCAACGAGUCAAUUUCACACUUCCUUUAGAAUCUGUUCCGGGGUGAGAGAGGCAACACUUACGAGAGAAACCUGCACAUCGCAUACUGCUGCUGCUGGGUUUCUGCUUCAUUUCACUCACCUUGGCUGUGGGCACUUCAUGCAGGAAAAUUUCAAUAAAGCUGAUCACACUGCAAGAGAGGAAGCCAGAGGCUGAAAAGAGCAGCGGAGACGUCACGCUGCUGAUGGCAAUAAGAACCUCCACCUGAGACGACAGACAGGUUUCAUGUAAAUGAUGGUGUGAUGUGAGCAGUGUGGAGCUGCCAAAUAGUUGAGCUGUAGUGUCUUCUUGCUUCCUGCUGCUGACUUGAUGAAAAUAAUGACACCACUGUGCUUUUGAACGACACAUUUCAGCUUCUCCUAGCUUGCAACCUGCAUGCUGAAAACUGCAAGUCUGGACUAAUACUUGGAUCGUGCUGUACGGCCGCUCUAUUGUUUCUGUAACUUUAAGAACUAAAGGAUUUUAAUGCCUUGGCUUACCUACCUGAUACAAAAUAAGAUUUAUCCUGUUCCUAUUUUGCAAGGACUGUCAGGGGUUGAUCUUGUUUGGGUUUGGAUGUUUCCUUGUGUUAAUGCCUUGGAUCCUUCCUGUGUAUAUUCUGUGUUACAAGUUAUCAAAUGUCCUCCUUGUGUUUAGUGAUCCAUGUCUCUUGACGUAGUCCUAUGUGUAUAUUCUUGUGUUUCUUGGUCCUGUCCUGUUUCCUGUUUUCUUUUGUAGUUUUUGAUCCCUGUUUCAAUUUUUGUGUACUUCCUCCCCUUGUGUGUUUCGCUCCUUUUUGAUUAGCCUGAUUAGUUUCACCUGUGUCCUGUGCUCCACACCUGCGUUGAUUACUCUGUUUAUUUAGUUUCUGUGUUUCCCCUGUCCUGUGUUGGAUCAUUGUAAGUCUUCCUCGUGUUCAUCUUGUAUUUCUUUUGUCCUAGU